GACCACCCACUCUCUCUCUCCCCUCUCUCUCUCUCUCUCUCUAGAUUCUACUAUAAUAUGUGGUGGCCACCGGUACUGUUUCAUAUGCCCCUUAGACACCUGUUUUUCCCCAAAGUACAUCAAGUACUCAAUGCCCUUUAAUCAUACCCACUCAGAGAGUUUGUUGUGCCUUUUUAUUCAACCCUAGAUGAUGUUUACCUUUCCUUAAAUGGGUAUUUUGCUUUGUGUGUUUACAGAUCUGACUUUGUAAUCUUUUUGUUUUUAUUUCAUGUCUUGCUUACCCUAUAUGGAGAUCAGAUAUAGAUAGA
RNAcentral lists this long non-coding RNA (308 nucleotides) under Helianthus annuus (common sunflower). RNAcentral's name for it is "hypothetical non coding rna". Lineage: Eukaryota; Viridiplantae; Streptophyta; Magnoliopsida; Asterales; Asteraceae. The record is from RNAcentral.